Molecule: non-coding RNA, 505 nt
Organism: Pelobates cultripes (western spadefoot toad)
Lineage: Eukaryota; Metazoa; Chordata; Amphibia; Anura; Pelobatidae
Source: the annotation of a GenBank genome assembly
AAUCGUUUUUAGUUUAGCAACGAGAAUCAUAAUUAUUAACCAGAAGAAAUAGUGGAGGAGAUUCAGAAGAAAAUCGGAAGCUGCUGAUUUUCCUCUCAAGUUAGUUCCCAGUCACCUCCAGCAAAUCCUUCUCUUACAAGAUAGGACCAUCACUACCACCAGUACAACCGCUAACCAGAGUAGUGACCAAUGCCACUAGCGACCACACUGACACUAUUACCAUUUCCAACAGCAUUAGCAUGAGUAUUGGCGUUACUGCACAGUAACGUGCCCAUGAGUAGAAGAACAGUAAGCAGAGUAUAGUUUGGGAUCACUUUGAAAGUUUAGAAAUAGGCCAAGGUAUUAUGUACGUACUUAUUAUUUUUGUCAUGUCAACUCACAUAUUGUGCACAUAGAUCAGCUCCUAUGUCAUCAGGAAGCAAAUUUGUCUAAACAGUACCUUCCUUCUGCAUCGCCAAACAUCAUAUACAAUAUAUCAAGUAUCCAAUGCGAUUAUGUUUCCCCC